GACGAACGCUGGCGGCGUGCCUAAUACAUGCAAGUCGAACGAAAGCGACCGGUGCUUGCACUGGUCAAUCUAGUGGCGAACGGGUGAGUAACACGUGGGUAACCUGCCUAUCAGAGUGGGAUAACAUCCGGAAACGGAUGCUAAUACCGCAUAAGUCUUCGAACCGCAUGGUUUGAAGAUGAAAAACGGUGCAAGCUUCUGCUGAUGGUUGGACCCGCGGUGCAUUAGCUAGUUGGUGAGGUAACGGCUCACCAAGGCAGUGAUGCAUAGCCGACCUGAGAGGGUGAUCGGCCACAUUGGAACUGAGACACGGCCCAAACUCCUACGGGAGGCAGCAGUAGGGAAUCUUCCGCAAUGGACGAAAGUCUGACGGAGCAACGCCGCGUGAGUGAAGAAGGUUUUCGGAUCGUAAAACUCUGUUGUUAGAGAAGAACAAGUGCUAGAGUAACUGUUAGCGCCUUGACGGUAUCUAACCAGAAAGCCACGGCUAACUACGUG
This 498-nucleotide ribosomal RNA is filed under the name uncultured bacterium. RNAcentral describes it as "partial 16S ribosomal RNA". It matches the Rfam family "Bacterial small subunit ribosomal RNA", at positions 28 to 507 of the family's 1533-position model. The record is from RNAcentral.